This 253-nucleotide ribosomal RNA is filed under the name uncultured bacterium. RNAcentral's name for it is "partial 16S ribosomal RNA". It matches the Rfam family "Bacterial small subunit ribosomal RNA", at positions 524 to 776 of the family's 1533-position model. The record is from RNAcentral.
UACGGGGGGUGCGAGCGUUGUCCGGAAUCACUGGGCAUAAAGCGCACGUAGGCGGCGGCGUAAGUCGGGUGUGAAAUCCCUCGGCCCAACCGAGGAACUGCGCCCGAUACUGCGUUGCUUGAGGAUCAGAGGGGUGCACGGAAUUUCCGGUGGAGCGGUGAAAUGCGUUGAUAUCGGAAGGAAUGUCGGCGGCGAAAGCGGUGCACUGGCUGAUUUCUGACGCUGAGGUGCGAAAGCCAGGGGAGCAAACGGG